RNAcentral lists this ribosomal RNA (253 nucleotides) under uncultured bacterium. RNAcentral describes it as "partial 16S ribosomal RNA". It matches the Rfam family "Bacterial small subunit ribosomal RNA", at positions 524 to 776 of the family's 1533-position model. The record is from RNAcentral.
UACGGAGGAUCCAAGCGUUAUCCGGAAUCAUUGGGUUUAAAGGGUCCGUAGGCGGUUUUGUAAGUCAGUGGUGAAAGCCCAUCGCUCAACGGUGGAACGGCCAUUGAUACUGCAAGACUUGAAUUAUUAGGAAGUAACUAGAAUAUGUAGUGUAGCGGUGAAAUGCUUAGAUAUUACAUGGAAUACCGAUUGCGAAGGCAGGUUACUACUAAUAUAUUGACGCUGAUGGACGAAAGCGUGGGGAGCGAACAGG